UUUUCUGUUUGCUCUAAUCUGUUUUGUGUUCUAUUGUGACAUGUUUUCUAUUGCAUCCAUUUGUUGCUUCCUAACCUGUUUGUUGAGUUUUUGUGAGGGCUCGCAUGACCUUAAAAGAGAUGGCUUGCGUGGUAUCCCACUUUAUUUGUGGGAUACCCCUUGGAGGUUUAUUCCGAUUACCUGUACUGACUCGCUUUCUUUGAUGGUGAUAGCUUGAGGGAUCUCUGGG
This 229-nucleotide long non-coding RNA is filed under the name Lathyrus oleraceus (garden pea). RNAcentral's name for it is "Pisum sativum (pea) long non-coding RNA (PSAT_LNC034120)". Lineage: Eukaryota; Viridiplantae; Streptophyta; Magnoliopsida; Fabales; Fabaceae. The record is from RNAcentral.